AGUGAACGCUGGCGGUAGGCCUAACACAUGCAAGUCGAACGGCAGCACAGUAAGAGCUUGCUCUUACGGGUGGCGAGUGGCGGACGGGUGAGGAAUACAUCGGAAUCUACUUUUUCGGGGGGGGUAACGUAGGGAAACGUACGCUAAUACCGCAUACGACCUACGGGUGAAAGCAGGGGAUCUUCGGACCUUGCGCGAUUGAAUGAGCCGAGGUCGGAUUAGCUAGUUGGCGGGGUAAAGGCCCACCAAGGCGACGAUCCGUAGCUGGUCUGAGAGGAUGAUCAGCCACACUGGAACUGAGACACGGUCCAGACUCCUACGGGAAGCAGCAGUGGGGAAUAUUGGACAAUGGUCGCCAGCCUGAUCCAGCCAUACCGCGUGGGUGAAGAAGGCCUUCGGGUUGUAAAGCCCUUUUGUUGGGAAAGAAAAGCAGCAGGUUAAUACCCCGCUGUUCUGACGGUACCCAAAGAAUAAGCACCGGCUAACUUCGUG
This 492-nucleotide ribosomal RNA is filed under the name uncultured bacterium. RNAcentral's name for it is "partial 16S ribosomal RNA". It matches the Rfam family "Bacterial small subunit ribosomal RNA", at positions 29 to 507 of the family's 1533-position model. The record is from RNAcentral.